UAAAGGUACUUCAGUUAUCAAUAUUGUUACAUUCCCAUAGUGUCUUUAUUUAGUCACUUGUUUUCUUUCAUCUUGUCUUGAGGUGGAGUUGAUCAUCUUCCAUUGGGUGCAGUUCUUGGAGGAAUCAUUGGGAUCAUCGUGCUCAUCAGCCUGGUUGUCUUUGUUUGGCGUUUGAAGGCUCCACAUCCAACUGCACAUCAGAGUCAGAAUCAGCCUGUUGGAGAGACAGUGACAACAGAAGAAGGAGACCUCCACUAUGGAGAGAUUAACUUCUCGGGGCUCAGAUCUGGACCGUCCUCGGUCUCGGAGCAGGACGGUGGACAGCAGGAGGACACGCUGUAUGCGCAGGUCAAAGUGUCCAAGGCAGCAGACAACGUCACACGGACUGCUGACGUCCCAGAGGAUCUCUACGCUCAAGUGAAGAGAAAAUGAGCCGUUUCUUGUCGUCACAUUUGGCUUUUAUUAUUAAGAUGCUUUUUACAUAAAUAACAAGCUUCAUCUGUCAGUUUAUGGAGGAAAAGAAUCGUGAGAAAAUGUAAUCUUCACUGCUCACAGUUAAUUAAAGAGGAACUUCAAACCUCCACACCCUGCAGCUCAGUUGAUUUCUUCAUACUUUUGACACCGUAAGGUUUGUGUUUAUCAGAUAAAAUGACAAAUAAAAGUCCCACGGCUCUAAAUAGAGAAGUAUUCCAAAAAAAGGUGCUGUUCAUAUAUCAUGUUUUAAAUUUGUUUUAAGUAUUUUUUAAAAGGCUUCUUUAAACCUUAUUUAUUAAGCUAUUCAGUUUCUUUUUUACAUCUUUUGCAUUAACCUCGUUUUAUUGUAAUAUUUCUUCUUCAAAAGACAAUAAUUUACUGCAUUUCAAGAUAUGUAUUAAUAUCAUGGUAAUAAAAACCAUAUAACUUA
This is a non-coding RNA of Gasterosteus aculeatus aculeatus (three-spined stickleback), 904 nucleotides long. NCBI's taxonomy places the organism in Eukaryota, Metazoa, Chordata, Actinopteri, Perciformes, Gasterosteidae. The record is from RefSeq and is a predicted model, not a curated record.